CUUCCCAUAGGUUUAGGAAAUGUCGCCAACCUCUAGUUUCAUCAAAAAUCCAUCAAAAGAAAAAUCAUUUUUUUCUUCUUUGUCUUUGGUCAUUUUUUUCUUCUUUUCUGGUUGUUUCCUCUACUGGCGAUUGUCGUUGAAGGCCUUUGCCCUCUUCCUUGAACUAUUCCCUAGCCUAAGUCAAAGCUUCAAUUGCCAGAAGACCAUAGAUCUUUGGAUUAUUGGCCUGAGCCCCCAUUUUUCCUUGGUGUUUUUGCCAUUUUUGCUUGAUUUUUUAGGCAUUGGUUGUCGCUACUGAUCAUCGA
RNAcentral lists this long non-coding RNA (305 nucleotides) under Elaeis guineensis (African oil palm). RNAcentral describes it as "long non-coding RNA (EGUI_LNC036919)". Lineage: Eukaryota; Viridiplantae; Streptophyta; Magnoliopsida; Arecales; Arecaceae. The record is from RNAcentral.